UCCUAAAACCUACUAAUAUAAAACUACAAGCAUAUAUUGUUCUGUGCUACAAGUGUCUAUUAAAUUACAAUUUUUUGCAUUACGCGUUCAAAAAUUAUUUUUAUUUUAAUUAUUAUUAGCAAUUAUAAUUAUAAAUAAUAAUUAAAAUCAUCAUGGUUAUCACGUGCGCUGCAUCGUUUUGUUAAAAUAUGAGUGGACAGAAACAAUCCAAGGUUUCGUUUUUCAGGUUUCCGAAGAAUGUUGAUGAGUGUAAUCAAUGGGCAUCCUUAAUUGGUCGGAAUGACCUGGUAAAUUGUAAUGUUCAGUUUCAAAGAGUGUGUUCUGAACAUUUUUAAGCUACAUGCUUUACAUCUUCAUCAAUAGGACGACAGCAAGUGCGUCUUAUCAGUGGUGCUAUGCCCUCAAAGAAGAAGCAAAACAAUGCAGAGCUUGAUACUGUCACUUUCAAUGAUGAAACCGCAACUUCUGAGGGACAAGUAUCUAUGAUGACUGUAACAGAUGUUUGUGACGAAAAAAUGUUUUAAUAAUGUUGAAAUUCCAACUGAUGUAUCACAAAUGGUGAUUGAAAGUUGUUCAACUGUAUUGUCAUUUAAGUACCAAAGUAACUUAAGUAGUUCAAGUUUGUCUUUAGCAUCAACAAGUAGCUUUUAUUCAAUGACUUUGACACAAACAUCGUUACAAUUAUCAUCAGGUACCCCACGAAAAAGUAAACUUAGGAAAAGUAUGAAAUAUAAAUAUGAUCAGUAUAAGGAUUUACUUAAGCAAUUCACUGAAUUACUAUAAUCUGUAGAUAGAGCAUAACAUCCCACAAUUCAAGAUUUCCAUGAGUUAUGUGAUACAUUUUUGAGGCCUGGCAUCGCUAAGUUUGUUAAAAUAUCCUUCCUUAAAUAUCAAAUCAUCUAAAGGUUUCCGGUAUUCUAAUUCAGUGAAACAAUUUGCACUUAAAAUUCAUUUUAUUGGGCCUAAAGUAUAUUGUUUAAUUAAAACAACUUGUAAUUUGCCAAAUAUAAGAAAUUUACAAAAAGUCACUGAACGUUGGGAAAUAAAUACUGGUUUUAGUGACUUGGUGUUCAAAGUGUUAACUUUAGAAGGUAGUACCAUGUCUGCAAAGAGUAAAGAAUGUGUUUUAUGUGUAGAUGAAAUGUCUAUUAAAGCUUUUCUUUAUUAUAAUACUGUUAAAGAUCAAAUUAUUGGAUUCCAUAACACUGGCUCCAUCAAAACGCAUGAGCUAGCUAAAUCAGUAAUGUUGACUGACAACAGUCUUGUUUGAGAGUUUCUGUGGAUCAUUGUCUGCUGUCUUUAUUUGAAAAAUCAAUUGUUAAAUAAUAUUUCAAACUAUGAGUUCGUCAUCAUUGAUAACCUUUUAACAAUGGCAAAAAAAGAACAUCAAGGUGGAGAUUUCACAACAGCCCAAAGAAUAUGUAAAGGUUUAAUUACACAUAAAUCGAGAGAUUUGAAUGUUCUACUGCUUACAGCCAGUGUAUUUUUCAGUAACCAACAUUUUGAUGAAUUUAUUGGCUACUUAGAACAAGCAAAAAGUAUUAACCCCAAAUGUUCCGAAGUUUUAAGGAACUUUGGAUUGGUUUAUAUGAGAAAAUCCCAAAAGGAUUUAGCAAAUGAAUACGCAAUAAGACCAUAUGGUGUGGAUGCACGGCCAGAUUAUGCAGAAAUUUUGUUUGAAACCAACGAUUUAAUUACGGCUGAAGCAUCUUAUAUACGUGCUAUAAGUCUCAAACCCGAAUUACAUGAAGCACGUAAUAAGUAGGUACGGAAAACUACUUUUAAAAUUAAACAUAAUAUAAGAGGCUAAAAUGGAGUUUAAGAUUGCCCACAAAAGCGCAAAAGAAUGUCCAGAAACAUUAAACAAUUUAGCAGAUGUAUAUUAUAAGAGCGGUAAAUUUGGAAAAUCUAUUUUGAAAUAUAAACAACUCUUAGAAACAAACCCCGAUCGGACGAAUGCUUGUUUUCAGUUGGGAAUGGCAUACUUAAAACUUGAAGACUACCAUAAUGCAAGUGAUGCAUUUAAGAAUGCAAUAAUACUCGAUCCCAAAAAUGUAUUAUUUUUAAGAAAACUAGCAGUUACAGUAGAUAUUUACCAAAAAUGUUUGAACCUCAAGCCUGAGGACUUUGAUUUAAAUUUCGAACUCGCUUUAAUGUAUUUCAAUAACAUUCAAAAUUAUCAUGAAGCUGUAAUAUAUCUUAAAAAAUGUAGUCAAUUAAAUCCGGGUAGAAUUGACAUAUACAAAAAGCUUUUUGAAACAUACGGAGAAACUAAAGAUCAUUUAAAUGCAUCCGAUGCUUGCAUGUCCAUGGGGAAUUUGUAUCUGGAGAAGGAUGAUUAUAAAAAUGCAAGAAACUCAUUCUGUUGUGCGGUACUUAUGAACCCGAGGAAUGCAUUUGGUCAUUGGAAAAUGGGCCUGACAUUGUAUCAACUGGGACAUGAGGAAUUGGCUUUUAAAAAAUACAAACAUUGAAUAGCAAUAGAGCUGGACAUUUCCGAUGGCUAUUGCGAUAUGGUGGUAAUAUUUUAUAAACAUGGCCUACUCGAACAAGCCAAAGUAUUUUAUGAAAUGGCAAUCAAGUUAAGUCCAGACGACCAUGACAACGCUCGGUUAAUUUGGCCGAUAUGUCAAUGAAAAAAAUGGAUCUUGAUGACGCUAUGACAGACAAUGAAAAGCAAUAGAAUAUGACAAUACACCUGUCAAGUAGAUGUUAAUUUGAUAUUCCACAUCUUCAAACGACAAUAAUUCAUCCUGGUUCAAUUACGUUGAACACCAUAAAGAUUUGUCUCAACCCAGGAAAUAUUGAUGUUUUUUGUAAUAUUUAUUUAUAACAAAUUAACUAAAAUCAUAAUUUUUGGUUUUAAUAUAUAAUCUUUUGAACUUAAAAUGUCUGUAAAAAUAACUGUGUUUAUAUAAGUUUUAGAUUAUUAGGUAACAGUGUGAGAUUUGUUGUUUUAAAUUUUCAAACCUUAGAUUUAAAAAUUGAACAUUUUAUAAUUUUUUAACUACUAUAAAUUUGAAAGUUUUUCAUAUU
Molecule: RNA transcript, 3036 nt
Organism: Acyrthosiphon pisum (pea aphid)
Lineage: Eukaryota; Metazoa; Arthropoda; Insecta; Hemiptera; Aphididae
Exons: 6
Source: RefSeq, a predicted model, not a curated record